GAAGAGCAACAAUAUUGAUGAAUCCUAUAAAGUCCAUAGGCCCUCAAAUACAGGAAAAUUAUUGGGGGAAAUGAAGCCAUUAUAUUAGAAUUAUUAAUGUAAUUAAUAUCUAAUUGGUUUGUUGAGAAGAAAUUAGAGGAGGGUGAAAGACACUAAAAGCUCUAAAAGCAGAGAUGAGAGCCAGGAGGAAGAAACAAGCAAAUCCUAGAGCUUGAAAAAUGAGAGCCAUCUUCAUGUUGUUGCAAAAUUUGGCAUAUGAGCUACAAGCUUCACUCCAUGAAACUUCUAUGUCUCCAUUGUAAGCUAAGUAUAAUAUCUCCCCUACCGCUGCGCUCGAUGUCACCAUCAAAUAAGCCACAACCUGAUCGGAGACGAAGAAGACCCAAGCCUUGACUAGGAAGCACCGGAAGCAAGAAAGGGCGGCGGCGAGAAAAGCGUAGGCGGCGGCGAUGGCGGAGAUGCAGACCAUGUACUUGAGACCACUGAGAUUGUGAAACUCUAAGUUGCCGUAAUCUGGGUUGUCUUGUCGGUUGGUGAGAGUGAGACAUAGAGCUGCGAUGCUGAAAGGAACAGAGAAUAGUCUUAAAGAGAGGUCAAGAAGUUUGAAGAGUGGAGGAGGAGGAGGAGGAUAUUGGUGGCUGGAAAUGGAAGAAUUGAUGCUUUCUUCUGCCAUUUUUGAAGCUAAAUUUUGAUGG
RNAcentral lists this unclassified non-coding RNA (695 nucleotides) under Hevea brasiliensis (rubber tree). Lineage: Eukaryota; Viridiplantae; Streptophyta; Magnoliopsida; Malpighiales; Euphorbiaceae. The record is from RNAcentral.